UCGGGAAUUUUGGGCAAUGGGCGAAAGCCUGACCCAGCAACGCCGCGUGAGGGAUGAAGUAUUUCGGUAUGUAAACCUCGAAAGAAUGGGAAGAAUAAAUGACGGUACCAUUUAUAAGCUCCGGCUAACUACGUGCCAGCAGCCGCGGUAAUACGUAGGGAGCAAGCGUUGUUCGGAUUUACUGGGCGUAAAGGGCGCGUAGGCGGCGCGGUAAGUCACUUGUGAAAUCUCUGAGCUUAACUCAGAACGGCCAAGUGAUACUGCUGUGCUAGAGUGCGGAAGAGGCAACCGGAAUUCUUGGUGUAGCGGUGAAAUGCGUAGAUAUCAAGAGGAACACCUGAGGCGAAGGCGGUUUGCUGGGCCGACACUGACGCUGAUGCGCGAAAGCCAGGGGAGCAAACG
RNAcentral lists this ribosomal RNA (402 nucleotides) under uncultured bacterium. Its description in RNAcentral is "bacterial SSU rRNA". It matches the Rfam family "Bacterial small subunit ribosomal RNA", at positions 355 to 774 of the family's 1533-position model. The record is from RNAcentral.